Molecule: ribosomal RNA, 231 nt
Filed under: uncultured bacterium
Lineage: Bacteria
Description: partial 16S ribosomal RNA
Rfam family: Bacterial small subunit ribosomal RNA
Source: RNAcentral
CCCAAAAAAAGAACAGUCUCAGUUCGGAUUGAAGGCUGAAAUUCGCCUUCCAUGAAGCCGGAAUUGCUAGUAAUGGCAGGUCAGCAUACUGCCGUGAAUACGUUCCCGGGCCUUGUACACACCGCCCGUCACACCAUGAGAGUUGGGGAUACCCGAAGCCUGUGAGCUAACUUUUAGAGGCAGCAGUCGAAGGUAGAAUCAAUGAUUGGGGUGAAGUCGUAACAAGGUAAC